AACGCAUAUGGCACCCUAGACCUCGGUCGAGGGUAUAUCUGUCUCAGAGUCGACGUGAAAACAUCCCCGCCGGAAGACCCACGCGUCUUUGACCCGGUCGGGGGAGCUGGCCCCCCCGGAGGCAGAGGGAACCUUUUAAGUGCCCUGGACCCUCCGGGUCGGCUGAAGGUGAGAGACGGGGGACCGCAUGCGCCGGGCUGCCACGAUUUUGGUGGGAGGACCUCGCGUCCACAUCAUGGAUCGGCGGCGCCCAACUCGAGGCAUGGUCGGUCUUAUGGCCCCGCCCUUGCAGGAGAAAAAGGGUCCACCGGACCGUGCUUCCGACCUGAGAUCAGGUAAGAUCACCCGCUGAACUUAA
This 358-nucleotide unclassified non-coding RNA is filed under the name uncultured fungus. RNAcentral's name for it is "partial contains internal transcribed spacer 2 and large subunit ribosomal RNA". The record is from RNAcentral. Lineage: Eukaryota; Fungi.